This 253-nucleotide ribosomal RNA is filed under the name uncultured bacterium. RNAcentral describes it as "partial 16S ribosomal RNA". It matches the Rfam family "Bacterial small subunit ribosomal RNA", at positions 524 to 776 of the family's 1533-position model. The record is from RNAcentral.
UACGUAGGGUGCGAGCGUUGUCCGGAAUUACUGGGCGUAAAGAGCUUGUAGGUGGUUUGUCGCGUUGUUCGUGAAAUCUCACGGCUCAACUGUGAGCGUGCGGGCGAUACGGGCAGACUAGAGUACUGCAGGGGAGACUGGAAUUCCUGGUGUAGCGGUGGAAUGCGCAGAUAUCAGGAGGAACACCGGUGGCGAAGGCGGGUCUCUGGGCAGUAACUGACACUGAGGGACGAAAGCUAGGGGAGCGAAUGGG